UACGUAGGGUGCAGGCGUUAAUCGGAAUCACUGGGCGUAAAGCGUGCGCAGGCGGUUUCUUAAGUCAGAUGUGAAAGCCCCGGGCUUAACCUGGGAACUGCGUUUGAAACUGGGAGACUUGAGUGUGGCAGAGGGGGGUGGAAUUCCACGUGUAGCAGUGAAAUGCGUAGAUAUGUGGAGGAACACCGAUGGCGAAGGCAGCCCCCUGGGUUAACACUGACGCUCAUGCACGAAAGCGUGGGGAGCAAACAGG
Molecule: ribosomal RNA, 253 nt
Filed under: uncultured bacterium
Lineage: Bacteria
Description: partial 16S ribosomal RNA
Rfam family: Bacterial small subunit ribosomal RNA
Source: RNAcentral